This 26-nucleotide non-coding RNA is filed under the name Rattus norvegicus (Norway rat). The record is from RNAcentral. Lineage: Eukaryota; Metazoa; Chordata; Mammalia; Rodentia; Muridae.
GGAGCUGAUGGUGUUUCCCUUUGGUC